AAACUGAAGAGUUUGAUCCUGGCUCAGAUUGAACGCUGGCGGAAUGCUUUACACAUGCAAGUCGAACGGCAGCACGGGGGCAACCCUGGUGGCGAGUGGCGCACGGGUGAGUAAAACAUCGGAACGUAUCCUAGAGUGGGGGAUAGCCCGGCGAAAGCCGGAUUAAUACCGCAUACGCUCGAAAGAGGAAAGUGGGGGAUCGUAAGACCUCACGCCCAAGGAGCGGCCGAUGCCGGAUUAGCUUGUUGGUGAGGUAAAGGCUCACCAAGGCGACGAUCCGUAGCUGGUCUGAGAGGACGACCAGCCACACUGGGACUGAGACACGGCCCAGACUCCUACGGGAGGCAGCAGUGGGGAAUUUUGGACAAUGGGGGAAACCCUGAUCCAGCCAUUCCGCGUGAGUGAAGAAGGCCUUCGGGUUGUAAAGCUCUUUCGGCAGGAAAGAAACGGUUUGGGUUAAUAUCCCAGACUACUGACGGUACCUGAAGAAGAAGCACCGGCUAACUACGUGCCAGCAGCCGCGGUAAUACGUAGGGUGCGAGCGUUAAUCGGAAUUACUGGGCGUAAAGCGUGCGCAGGCUGUGAUCCAAGUCAGGUGUGAAAGCCCCGGGCUCAACCUGGGAAUUGCGCUUGAAACUGGAUCGCUAGAGUUUGACAGAGGGGGGUAGAAUUCCACGUGUAGCAGUGAAAUGCGUAGAUAUGUGGAGG
This 708-nucleotide ribosomal RNA is filed under the name Pseudomonadota bacterium. RNAcentral's name for it is "bacterial SSU rRNA". It matches the Rfam family "Bacterial small subunit ribosomal RNA", at positions 1 to 704 of the family's 1533-position model. Lineage: Bacteria; Pseudomonadati; Pseudomonadota. The record is from RNAcentral.